RNAcentral lists this ribosomal RNA (734 nucleotides) under uncultured bacterium. RNAcentral's name for it is "SSU rRNA". It matches the Rfam family "Bacterial small subunit ribosomal RNA", at positions 84 to 853 of the family's 1533-position model. The record is from RNAcentral.
UUUCGGGCAUAGUGGCGCACGGGUGCGUAACGCGUGGGAAUCUGCCCCUUGGUUCGGAAUAACUCAGAGAAAUUUGAGCUAAUACCGGAUGACGACGUAAGUCCAAGGAUUUAUCGCCGAGGGAUGAGCCCGCGUAGGAUCAGCUAGUUGGUGGGGUAAAGGCCUACCAAGGCGACGAUCCUUAGCUGGUCUGAGAGGAUGAUCAGCCACACUGGGACUGAGACACGGCCCAGACUCCUACGGGAGGCAGCAGAGGGGAAUAUUGGACAAUGGGCGAAAGCCUGAUCCAGCAAUGCCGCGUGAGUGAUGAAGGCCUUAGGGUUGUAAAGCUCUUUUACCCGGGAUGAUAAUGACAGUACCGGGAGAAUAAGCUCCGGCUAACUCCGUGCCAGCAGCCGCGGUAAUACGGAGGGAGCUAGCGUUGUUCGGAAUUACUGGGCGUAAAGCGCACGUAGGCGGCUUUGUAAGUUAGAGGUGAAAGCCUGGAGCUCAACUCCAGAACUGCCUUUGAUACUGCAUGGCUUGAAUCCAAGAGAGGUGAGUGGAAUUCCGAGUGUAGAGGUGAAAUUCGUAGAUAUUCGGAAGAACACCAGUGGCGAAGGCGGCUCACUGGCUUGGUAUUGACGCUGAGGUGCGAAAGCGUGGGGAGCRAACAGGAUUAGAUACCCUGGUAGUCCACGCCGUAAACGAUGGUAACUAGCUGUCGGGGCACUUGGUGUUUCGGUGGCGCAGCU